RNAcentral lists this ribosomal RNA (999 nucleotides) under uncultured Peptoniphilus sp. RNAcentral describes it as "partial 16S ribosomal RNA". The stretch from base 2 to 518 matches the Rfam family "Bacterial small subunit ribosomal RNA", at positions 29 to 544 of the family's 1533-position model. The record is from RNAcentral. Lineage: Bacteria; Bacillati; Bacillota; Tissierellia; Tissierellales; Peptoniphilaceae.
GACGAACGCUGGCGGCGUGCUUAACACAUGCAAGUCGAACGCUGAAGCCCAGCUUGCUGGGUGGAUGAGUGGCGAACGGGUGAGUAACACGUGAGUAACCUGCCCCCUUCUUUGGGAUAACGCCCGGAAACGGGUGCUAAUACUGGAUAUUCACUGGCCUUCGCAUGGGGGUUGGUGGAAAGGUUUUUUCUGGUGGGUGAUGGGCUCGCGGCCUAUCAGCUUGUUGGUGGGGUGAUGGCCUACCAAGGCUUUAACUGGUUGCCGGCCUGAGAGGGUUACCGGUCACUUUGGGACUGAGGUACGGCCCAAACUCCUACGGGAGGCAGCAGUGGGGAAUACUGAACAAUGGGCGAAAGCCUGAUGCAUCUGCGCCGCGUAUGGAAGACGGCCUUCUGUUUGUAAACCUCUUUCUCUCAGGAUCAUGCCUUUGCUUUGGUUUGUGGGGAUGGUUUUUGGAUAGAGCGUGCGGGCUAUGUUGUCUUGUGUACCUUCUAAAUUAUGCGCCUGGACUAGGUUGUUGGGUGGUGGUUGUUAGAGGGGAAUUUUGUUUCUUGAUGGUUGUGGGGUUGUGGUGUUGGGUGUGACACAUUUGUGAUGUUGGCUGGUUUUUGGUGUGGGUGUGUUGUUUUGUUUGUGGUUUUUGUGUUUGUGUUUGUGUGUUGUGGGUGUGUGUUGUUGUGUUUGUGUGAUUGUAUUUGUGUUGUGAUGUGUGUUGUGUGGGUGCUGCAUUUGGUGGUGUGGUGUUGGUUUGUGUUGGGGGUGGGGUGUUUUGUUGAAAUGAAAAAAAAAAUAUAUGUGUAUUUGGGUUAUUGUUGUGUGUGUGGAAUUGUGUUUUUGUUGUUCUGUGUGUUGUUUGUGUUGUGGUGUUGUGUGUGUGUUGUUUGUGUGUUGUGAGUUGAUUGGAUUUCGCUGUGUGUGUGUGGUGUGUGGGUGUGUGUGUGUGUGUCGUGGGGGUGCUGUCACGUAGUGCUCUGCCUGCCCCUGCCUGCCCCUCGUGAU